UGGGGAAUAUUGCACAAUGGGCGCAAGCCUGAUGCAGCCAUGCCGCGUGUAUGAAGAAGGCCUUCGGGUUGUAAAGUACUUUCAGUCGGGAGGAAGGUGGUAAGGUUAAUAACCUUGGCAAUUGACGUUACCGACAGAAGAAGCACCGGCUAACUCCGUGCCAGCAGCAGCGGUAAUACGGAGGGUGCAAGCGUUAAUCGGAAUUACUGGGCGUAAAGCGCACGCAGGCGGUCUGUCAAGUCGGAUGUGAAAUCCCCGGGCUCAACCUGGGAACUGCAUUAGAAACUGGCAGGCUAGAGUCUUGUAGAGGGGGGUAGAAUUCCAGGUGUAGCGGUGAAAUGCGUAGAGAUCUGGAGGAAUACCGGUGGCGAAGGCGGCCCCCUGGACAAAGAAAGACGCUAAGGUGCGAAAGCGUGGGGAGCAAACAGG
This 429-nucleotide ribosomal RNA is filed under the name Chloroflexota bacterium. RNAcentral describes it as "Chloroflexi bacterium partial 16S ribosomal RNA". It matches the Rfam family "Bacterial small subunit ribosomal RNA", at positions 355 to 776 of the family's 1533-position model. Lineage: Bacteria; Bacillati; Chloroflexota. The record is from RNAcentral.